AGGAAAAGUCCCUUUUUCCUAAAAUUAUAUAAACAAUCCAGCGAAGAUUAACAAAUAGAUAAACGGAAAGUAAGUUUUAGGCUUUAUCCUUUGUUCUUGUUUAACAAAAUCGAUUUAAAUUGUUACUUUUUUUACCACUAAGCCAUGAUAAAUUAUUGUUAAUAUUUUUUUUUUUUUGGAUGCUCAGAAUGCAAAAAAUAGCAUUUCACGGUUUCAAAUUUCAAAAAUUUUCUUGGGAUUAUCCCUCUAAUAAGUAAUGAUAAAUUACAGUUAAUAUUCUUUUUUACUUUUUGUGCAUUUUCCCAUCUUUUAUUUCAAAUACAAGUAUACUUAGCAUAAAUUUUAGAGCAAAUUUGGAUCCUCAGAAUGCAGGAAAUGGCAUUUCCGUGGUUCAAAUUUCAAAAAUUUUCUGGGGGAGUACACCCCCACACACAUGACCAUUGCUAUCCUCUAAUAAGUAAUGAUAAAUGAUGGUUAAUUUUUUUUACUUUUUGUGUGUUUCUUCCUUUAUUUAUUUCAAAUACAAGUAUAGUUAGGAUAAAUUUUGGAGCAAAUUUGGAUGCUCAGAAUGCAGGAAAUGACAUUUACGGGAGUCAAAUUUCAAACAUUUUCUGGGGGAGUACAACCCAGACCCCCCAUCUAUGCGUGGUAUAUUUUCCACACAUGUGGCUUUCAGCCAUUGCUACCCCCCUCUAAUAUAUUAUCUCACAGAAAGGUCCCUUUUCAAAAAAUGCCCCCCCACAGGAAAAUCCUUAAAAAAGGCCCUGUGUCUCGGCAGGGUACUGAAAUAGAACGUCACUAAAAAAUUCUGUAUGAUUAAUUUAGAUCAUGUCUACUCUUUCAACAUAAAACAGUCAUUUAUUUUGUACAAACAUUUGGCCAUAUUUACACGAUUGUGCCUUUUUGUAAACACGCGUUGCGUGUAUUCCACGCAACUGCGUCGCUCAUUUUACUCGCGCAUGCUCAGACAAAUUUCCCACCUGUUCCUCAUUACUGUACUUGAGUUCUAUUUUUGAGAAGUCGGCAUGUGACAAAGUAAACUUUCUUUGGAGUACUUUUACUUGGAACGAAGUCGUUUAAAGAAGUAACGUUUUACUUCGUUAUUUUCAUUAUCUUGCGAAGUAUUUUGUUACUUUCUAACUUUUGUUUAAUUUUACGUGAUGUAUUCAGGAUUUAUUUUAAUUUUGGGAUAGGUAAUAGGACCUCUACAUGCGUCUGGAUGGAUUUCUUGUAUCUUCAACGGGAUCUAGAGAGUAGACCAUGCCAUGAAAUAUUGUAUAUUAGGUGCACGCAUAUAAUGCGUGUGUUGUUUUGUAUGUCAAUCCAAUGGAGAAGUCCCCCCCCCCCCUUACAAGCCAAAGACAAUAGUAUUUUUACUUUUACUUCAAGUAUUUUUUAA
Molecule: non-coding RNA, 1399 nt
Organism: Paramuricea clavata
Lineage: Eukaryota; Metazoa; Cnidaria; Anthozoa; Malacalcyonacea; Plexauridae
Source: the annotation of a GenBank genome assembly